Molecule: unclassified non-coding RNA, 265 nt
Filed under: Hevea brasiliensis (rubber tree)
Lineage: Eukaryota; Viridiplantae; Streptophyta; Magnoliopsida; Malpighiales; Euphorbiaceae
Source: RNAcentral
GCCGUUUCGAACAAUCAAUUUGACAAAAAAAAUCUAGCUAACUGAUCGUAUUCGUCCAUCAACGGCGACGGCGACGGCGACGAUGACCGAUAGUUGCCGCCGAGCUCUAGUGGAAGCUAUACAUUCGUCUCCUACUCAAGCUGUUAUUUAUCUUUCCGGCGGAGCCUCUCAGGCGCUGGGGUGGUUGAUGUCAGUUCCGGGAGCAUCGAACACUGUGCUUGAAUCUGUAGUUACAUAUUCCAGAAUGUCUAUGAUUCAAUUACUU